RNAcentral lists this ribosomal RNA (253 nucleotides) under uncultured bacterium. RNAcentral's name for it is "partial 16S ribosomal RNA". It matches the Rfam family "Bacterial small subunit ribosomal RNA", at positions 524 to 776 of the family's 1533-position model. The record is from RNAcentral.
UACGUAGGGGGCAAGCGUUAUCCGGAUCUACUGGGUGUAAAGGGAGCGUAGACGGCAGAGCAAGUCUGAAGUGAAAGCCCGCGGCCCAACUGCGGGACUGCUUUGGAAACUGCCCGGCUAGAGUGCUGGAGAGGUAAGCGGAAUUCCUAGUGUAGCGGUGAAAUGCGUAGAUAUUAGGAGGAACACCAGUGGCGAAGGCGGCUUACUGGACAGUAACUGACGUUGAGGCUCGAAAGCGUGGGGAGCAAACAGG